AAAACGGUCCUUUUCAGGGCCACCAAUUUUUUUCAAAAAAUUCUUU
This 46-nucleotide non-coding RNA is filed under the name Mytilus galloprovincialis (Mediterranean mussel). It matches the Rfam family "Histone 3' UTR stem-loop". Rfam says of the family: The mRNAs of metazoan histone genes lack a poly-A tail. 3' end processing occurs at a site between a highly conserved stem-loop (modelled by this family) and a purine rich region around 20 nts downstream (the histone downstream element, or HDE). The stem-loop is bound by a 31 kDa stem-loop binding protein (SLBP - also termed the histone hairpin binding protein, or HBP). The record is from RNAcentral. Lineage: Eukaryota; Metazoa; Mollusca; Bivalvia; Mytilida; Mytilidae.